AUGGGAGACUUGAACGACAUCUUGUAUAAUAUCGAUGGGUGUAAUGGUAAUAUUAACUACUUUCGUAUCCAUGCUUUCCGCUCUCUUGUCAAAAAUUGUGGUAUGUUUGAUAUUGGUUAUAGAGGUCCAGCUUACACUUGGCGUGGUAGACAUAACACUUCUAAACCCAUUCACAAACGUCUUGAUCGAUGUCUGGUUAAUUCUUAGUGGUGCUCUUUUUAUCCCAACACUAAGGUUUUAAAUCUGCCUAUCAUUCUCAGUGAUCAUGCCCCUAUUUUAAUCCCUACUAAUGGUAAUUUUGUGAGACCUAAACAAACUUCCAAAUUUGAAAACUGGUGGCUUAUGGAACAAGACUUCCACUCCUUCACUAAGAAUGUUUGGAACAAUGCUUCUCAUACUUCUUUUGCAGCAAAAUCUUCCUAUCUUGCAGGGUCUCUCAAGACUUGGUGUUAG
Molecule: ribosomal RNA, 453 nt
Filed under: Triticum aestivum (bread wheat)
Lineage: Eukaryota; Viridiplantae; Streptophyta; Magnoliopsida; Poales; Poaceae
Description: partial small subunit ribosomal RNA
Source: RNAcentral